GACGAACGCUGGCGGCGUGCUUAACACAUGCAAGUCGAACGGAAAGGCCCUGCUUUUGUUGGGUGCUCGAGUGGCGAACGGGUGAGUAACACGUGAGUAACCUGCCCUUGACUUUGGGAUAACUUCAGGAAACUGUGGCUAAUACCGGAUAGGAGCUCCUGCUGCAUGGUGUGGGUUGGAAAGUUUCGGCGGUUGGGGAUGGACUGGCGGCUUAUCAGCUUGUUGGUGGGGUAGUGGCGUACCAAGGCUUUGACGGGUAGCCGGCCUGAGAGGGUGACCGGCCACAUUGGGACUGAGAUACGGCCAAGACUCCUACAGGAGGCAGCAGUGGGGAAUAUUGCACAAUAGGCGGAAGCAUGAUGCAGCAACGCCGCGUGCGGGAUGACUGCCGUAGGGUUGUAAACCGCUUGAGCCUGUGACGAAGCGUGAGUGACGGUAAUGGGUAAAGAAGCACCGGCUAACUACGUG
RNAcentral lists this ribosomal RNA (468 nucleotides) under uncultured bacterium. RNAcentral's name for it is "partial 16S ribosomal RNA". It matches the Rfam family "Bacterial small subunit ribosomal RNA", at positions 28 to 507 of the family's 1533-position model. The record is from RNAcentral.